Molecule: non-coding RNA, 424 nt
Organism: Misgurnus anguillicaudatus (oriental weatherfish)
Lineage: Eukaryota; Metazoa; Chordata; Actinopteri; Cypriniformes; Cobitidae
Source: the annotation of a RefSeq genome assembly
UAUAGACGCAUCAGAAGUUCAUCAUCAGAAAUCUAAACUCACAGUCACCAUGACCUUCAUCAGCAUCUUCAUCUGGAUGUUAACUUGUUUCUGUUUCAGAGAAUCAAGAGGUGAAGUGACCGUCAUUCAGACACCUGCAGUCAAAUCUGUUCAUCUACGAGACACAGUUACUAUCACCUGUAAAACUAACCGUCAAGUCCCCCAGUGGAGUUAUCAGCCUUUAUCCUGGUACUUACAGAAACCUGGAAAAACUCCUAAACUCCUGAUUAAAAAAGCAAAUGAGUUACAGUCUGGAACUCCAUCAAGAUUCAGUGGCAGUGGAUCAAAAACAGAUUUUACUCUGAGCAUCAGUGAAGUUCAGACUGAAGAUGCAGGAGAUUAUUACUGUCAGAGUUAUCACACUAAUCCAGUGUUCACACAGUGA